AGAGUUUGAUGAUGGCUCAGAAUGAACGCUGGCGGCGUGCUUAACACAUGCAAGUCGAACGAUGAAGCCUAGCUUGCCAGGUGAAUUAGUGGCGCACGGGUGAGUAAUAUAUAGAUAACGUGCCUCUUAGUCUGGGAUAGCCAUUGGAAACGAUGAUUAAUACUAGAUACUCCUUCUGAUUAUAAUUUCAGUUGGGAAAGUUUUUCGCUAAGAGAUCGGUCUAUAUCCCAUCAGCUAGUUGGUAGUGUAAGAGACUACCAAGGCAAUGACGGGUAGCGGGUUUGAGAGGAUGAUCCGCCACACUGGUACUGAGACACGGACCAGACUCCUACGGGAGGCAGCAGUGAGGAAUAUUGCACAAUGGAGGAAACUCUGAUGCAGCAACGCCGCGUGGAGGAUGACGCAUUUCGGUGUGUAAACUCCUUUUAUAUGUCAAGAAAAUGACGGUAGCAUAUGAAUAAGCACCGGCUAACUCCGUGCCAGCAGCCGCGGUAAUACGGAGGGUGCAAGCGUUAUUCGGAAUCACUGGGCGUAAAGGACGCGUAGGCGGGAAGCCAAGUCUGAUGUGAAAUCCUAUGGCUCAA
RNAcentral lists this ribosomal RNA (584 nucleotides) under uncultured bacterium. RNAcentral describes it as "bacterial SSU rRNA". It matches the Rfam family "Bacterial small subunit ribosomal RNA", at positions 8 to 612 of the family's 1533-position model. The record is from RNAcentral.